This 75-nucleotide transfer RNA is filed under the name Candidatus Peregrinibacteria bacterium RIFOXYB2_FULL_32_7. RNAcentral's name for it is "tRNA-Gly". It matches the Rfam family "tRNA". Rfam says of the family: Transfer RNA (tRNA) molecules are approximately 80 nucleotides in length. Lineage: Bacteria; Candidatus Peregrinibacteriota. The record is from RNAcentral.
GCAGGUAUCGUAUAGUGGCUAUUAUGCGACCUUGCCAAGGUCGAGAGACGGGUUCAAUUCCCGUUACCUGCUCCA